Molecule: ribosomal RNA, 254 nt
Filed under: uncultured bacterium
Lineage: Bacteria
Description: partial 16S ribosomal RNA
Rfam family: Bacterial small subunit ribosomal RNA
Source: RNAcentral
UACGUAGGGUGCGAGCGUUGUCCGGAAUUAUUGGGCGUAAAGAGCUCGUAGGCGGUUUGUCGCGUCUGCUGUGAAAACCCGAGGCUCAACCUCGGGCCUGCAGUGGGUACGGGCAGACUAGAGUGCGGUAGGGGAGAUUGGAAUUCCUGGUGUAGCGGUGGAAUGCGCAGAUAUCAGGAGGAACACCGAUGGCGAAGGCAGAUCUCUGGGCCGUAACUGACGCUGAGGAGCGAAAAGCAUGGGGAGCGAACAGG